This 379-nucleotide ribosomal RNA is filed under the name uncultured eukaryote. RNAcentral describes it as "partial 18S ribosomal RNA". It matches the Rfam family "Eukaryotic small subunit ribosomal RNA", at positions 592 to 976 of the family's 1831-position model. The record is from RNAcentral.
CAAUAGCGUAUAUUUAAGUUGUUGCAGUUAAAAAGCUCGUAGUUGGAUUUCGGAUGGGAUUUGCCGGUCCGUCGUUACGAUGUGCACUGGCCAGUCCUAUCUUGUUGUCGGGGACUAGCUCCUUGGAUUCACUUCCCGGGACUAGGAGCUGACGAGGUUACUUUGAGUAAAUUAGAGUGUUCAAAGCAAGCCUACGCUCUGAAUACAUUAGCAUGGAAUAACACGAUAGGACUCUGGCUUAUCUUGUUGGUCUGUGAGACCAGAGUAAUGAUUAAGAGGGACAGUCGGGGACAUUCGUAUUUCAUUGUCAGAGGUGAAAUUCUUGGAUUUAUGAAAGACGAACUUCUGCGAAAGCAUUUGUCAAGGAUGUUUUCAUUAA